RNAcentral lists this ribosomal RNA (253 nucleotides) under uncultured bacterium. Its description in RNAcentral is "partial 16S ribosomal RNA". It matches the Rfam family "Bacterial small subunit ribosomal RNA", at positions 524 to 776 of the family's 1533-position model. The record is from RNAcentral.
GACAGAGGGGGCAAGCGUUGCUCGGAAUUACUGGGCGUAAAGCGCGCGUAGGCGGGUUGGUAAGUCCGCUGUGAAAGCCCGGAGCUCAACUCCGGAGGGUCGGUGGAUACUGCCAGUCUUGAAGGUGCUAGGGGGAGAUGGAAUUACCGGUGUAGCGGUGAAAUGCGUAGAUAUCGGUAGGAACACCAGUGGCGAAGGCGGUCUCCUGGGGCAUUCUUGACGCUGAGGCGCGAAAGCUGGGGGAGCAAACGGG